GUUUAGGAUUUAGGAUUUGGUUAGAGUUUGAAUUAGGAUUAGGAUUUGAUUAGGAUUUGGUUUAGGAUUUAGGUUUUAGGAUUUAGGAUUUGGUUUAGAAUUGGUUAGGAAUUGAUUUAGGGUUAGGAUUUAGUUAGGAUUAGAUUUAGGAUUAGAUUUUGGUUAGGAUUUGAUUUAGAAUUUAGAGUUAGGAUUAGGAUUUGAUUAGGAUUUGAUUUAGGGUUAGAUUUUGAUUAAGAUUUGGUUAAGGUUUGAUUUAAGAUUAGGAUUUGAUUAAAGAUUUAAGAUUUAGUUAGAAUUUGAUUUAGGAUUAGGAUUUGGUUUAGGAUUUAGGAUUUGGUCAGGAUUUGAUUUAGAGUUUAGGAUUUGAUUAGGAUUUGAUUUAGGGUUUAAGAUUUGAUUAGGAUUUGAUUAGGAUUUGAUUUAGGACUUAAGGUUUUAUUUGAGUUUGUUUAGGAUUUAAGAUUUAGUUAGUUUUUAGCCUAAAAUUUGAAUGAAGUCCAAUAAGAUUUCAACUAAGAUUAAAUUAAGAUUGAAUUGAGAUGUAUUUGAGAUAUGUUUGUAAUCAUUCUAAUAUUUCUUUAAGAUUUCUUAUUAUUUCUUUGGAAUUUCUUUGAGGUUUCUCUAAAUUUGAUUAAAGCUUGUUUAACAUUAUUAGUAUGCUAUUGAAAUUAGGAUUUUGUUGUUGUAAUUUCUAUUCUACCUUCUACACCAUGAUGACCAGAGCAUUCUCAAGUAAGACUUCACGUAUUAUGACAAUGCAUCAAUA
Molecule: long non-coding RNA, 769 nt
Filed under: Physcomitrium patens
Lineage: Eukaryota; Viridiplantae; Streptophyta; Bryopsida; Funariales; Funariaceae
Description: long non-coding RNA (PPAT_LNC010433)
Source: RNAcentral